RNAcentral lists this ribosomal RNA (561 nucleotides) under uncultured bacterium. Its description in RNAcentral is "bacterial SSU rRNA". It matches the Rfam family "Bacterial small subunit ribosomal RNA", at positions 80 to 640 of the family's 1533-position model. The record is from RNAcentral.
UACUUUUGAUGGCGACCGGCGGACGGGUGCGUAACGCGUAUGCAACCUACCCUUUACAGGGGGAUAACACUGAGAAAUCGGUACUAAUACCCCAUAAUAUUCCGGGAGGCAUCUUUCGGAGUUGAAAGCUUUGGUGGUAAAGGAUGGGCAUGCGUUGUAUUAGCUAGUUGGUAAGGUAACGGCUUACCAAGGCGACGAUACAUAGGGGGACUGAGAGGUUAACCCCCCACAUUGGUACUGAGACACGGACCAAACUCCUACGGGAGGCAGCAGUGAGGAAUAUUGGUCAAUGGACGGAAGUCUGAACCAGCCAUGCCGCGUGCAGGAAGACGGCUCUAUGAGUUGUAAACUGCUUUUGUACGAGGGUAAACGCAGAUACGUGUAUCUGCCUGAAAGUAUCGUACGAAUAAGGAUCGGCUAACUCCGUGCCAGCAGCCGCGGUAAUACGGAGGAUCCAAGCGUUAUCCGGAUUUAUUGGGUUUAAAGGGUGCGUAGGCGGUUUAGUAAGUCAGCGGUGAAAUUUUGGUGCUUAACACCAAACGUGCCGUUGAUACUGCUGGG